CCUUACCUGGCCUUGACAUACUAAGAACUUUCCAGAGAUGGAUUGGUGCCUUCGGGAACUUAGAUACAGGUGCUGCAUGGCUGUCGUCAGCUCGUGUCGUGAGAUGUUUGGGUUAAGUCCCGCAACGAGCGCAACCCUUUUUCCUUAUUUGCCAGCGGGUUAAGCCGGGAACUUUAAGGAUACUGCCAGUGACAAACUGGAGGAAGGCGGGGACGACGUCAAGUCAUCAUGGCCCUUACGGCCAGGGCUACACACGUGCUACAAUGGUCGGUACAAAGGGUUGCUACCUCGCGAGAGGAUGCUAAUCUCAAAAAGCCGAUCGUAGUCCGGAUCGCAGUCUGCAACUCGACUGCGUGAAGUCGGAAUCGCUAGUAAUCGCGGAUCAGAAUGCCGCGGUGAAUACGUUCCCGGGCCUUGUACACACCGCCCGUCACACCAUGGGAGUUUGUUGCACCAGAAGUAGGUAGUCUAACCGCAAGGAGGACGCUUACCACGGUGUGGCCGAUGACUGGGGUGAAGUCGUAACAAGGUAGGCGUAGAUGA
RNAcentral lists this ribosomal RNA (543 nucleotides) under uncultured bacterium. RNAcentral's name for it is "bacterial SSU rRNA". It matches the Rfam family "Bacterial small subunit ribosomal RNA", at positions 969 to 1509 of the family's 1533-position model. The record is from RNAcentral.